GAAACCUUUAAACUAGAUGUUCUAAACAAGGAAAAGCUUAUUUUUCUUUUGCAACACUAGUCACAAUAUAAGCUAGAGAAUGAGGAACCCAGGCAGCCAAAGGGGACCCUCCUACAGGACCUUUCUCAGAUCUCAGGGCACUCUUCCUUGGGGGGCACUGUAGACUCGGUCAGGGUCAUAUCCUCCUGGAGACACUAGAGUCAAUGGAGCAGCAGACAGAUGCGGCAGAUGACCCCCUAGUCCUACUUGGUACCCAUUUCAUCUGUCAGCCCCAGAGACUUGGAGGAAACUCCAGAAACUGACCCUAGGACCUCAAACUCCCAUGAACCAGAUGCAAGGUGCAGUAUUCUGGGUGUUCAACAAUAGGGACAAGCUGGCGAGGGAAAGGGGCUCUGACGUGGGAAACAUCAGUCCAGACUAGAAGCUCAUAUGAUAGCAGUCACGGUAACCAGGGCCACCCAGGGAGCACCCAUCUGUGGGUGAAAAGCCAAAGAGAGGAUGCUUUGGGCAUGAAUGUCUGAGUCACUGGCAGAAGAAAUGUUCCCACCUGAAAAGCCCACCCAGCCCCUACCCACGGUGUACAUAAGAGGGACACUGGAGGUGGGAGGUGGGGAGGAAGUUGUGGGUUGUGAAACACCGGGCAUUUCUGGUCAUUCACAUUUCUGGGCCAGCGAAACCGCUGCUGUCCCUCCUUACCCCUGACCUUGGGUGGGUGUGGACGCUAUGGAGCCAGACCAACUGGGCGUGCCGUCUCCCAGGGCUUCGUCCUUGAGAUGGCUUCACCUUGCCUCAGUUUCCUUAUCUGUCCGAGGAGAUAACAGGAGCGCCUCUGCAGGGAAUUGUUGGGAGUAAACAUUGAUGAGGUGCCCAGAGUGGUGCCUGACCUUUAGCUAAUGUUGCCUGAAUGUCUGUUGAUUACUUCUAAGGUUUGUUUUAAGCUGUCACUCCCUCUGAGUCAAUGGUCCUUUUUCCUUGCUAUCUACAAUACUUAGUAGUAAAAAUUCUGACCCCGAAGUCGGAUCCUGGAGGCAGUGCCUGAUUCAAAAUAAGCACCCUUCUACUCACAUUGCCUAUAUUUAUUUUCUUAUUUUUAUUAUUUAUUUGAAAUACAGAGAGAUAGAUAGAUAGAUAGAUAGAUAGAUAGAUAGAUAGAUAGACAGAUACAGAGAGACAUCUCCCAUUCGCUGGUUCACUCCCCAACAGGGAGGGCCAGGGACAGGA
RNAcentral lists this long non-coding RNA (1221 nucleotides) under Oryctolagus cuniculus (rabbit). RNAcentral's name for it is "lncRNA (ENSOCUG00000030325.1)". Lineage: Eukaryota; Metazoa; Chordata; Mammalia; Lagomorpha; Leporidae. The record is from RNAcentral.